Molecule: ribosomal RNA, 484 nt
Filed under: uncultured bacterium
Lineage: Bacteria
Description: partial 16S ribosomal RNA
Rfam family: Bacterial small subunit ribosomal RNA
Source: RNAcentral
AUUGAACGCUAGCGGGAUGCUUUACACAUGCAAGUCGAACGGCAGCGCGGACUUCGGUCUGGCGGCGAGUGGCGAACGGGUGAGUAAUGUAUCGGAACGUGCCCAGUAGCGGGGGAUAACUACGCGAAAGCGUAGCUAAUACCGCAUACGCCCUACGGGGGAAAGCAGGGGAUCGUAAGACCUUGCACUAUUGGAGCGGCCGAUAUCGGAUUAGCUAGUUGGUGAGGUAACGGCUCACCAAGGCGACGAUCCGUAGCUGGUUUGAGAGGACGACCAGCCACACUAGGACUGAGACACGGCCCAGACUCCUACGGGAGGCAGCAGUGGGGAAUUUUGGACAAUGGGGGCAACCCUGAUCCAGCCAUCCCGCGUGUGCGAUGAAGGCCUUCGGGUUGUAAAGCACUUUUGGCAGGAAAGAAACGUCGCGGGCUAAUACCCCGUGGAACUGACGGUACCUGCAGAAUAAGCACCGGCUAACUACGUG